This 401-nucleotide ribosomal RNA is filed under the name uncultured bacterium. RNAcentral describes it as "bacterial SSU rRNA". It matches the Rfam family "Bacterial small subunit ribosomal RNA", at positions 28 to 412 of the family's 1533-position model. The record is from RNAcentral.
GAUGAACGCUGGCGGCGUGCCUAACACAUGCAAGUCGAGCGGGAUUUUCCGGAUUGAAGCUUCGGUAGAUUGAAGGAAAUGAGAGCGGCGGACGGGUGAGUAACGCGUAGGCAACCUGCCCUUUGCAGAGGGAUAGCCAUUGGAAACGAUGAUUAAAACCUCAUAAUGCCACGAAGUGACAUCGCUUUGUGGCCAAAGAUUUAUCGGCAAAGGAUGGGCCUGCGUCUGAUUAGCUGGUUGGUGAGGUAACGGCUCACCAAGGCGACGAUCAGUAGCCGACCUGAGAGGGUGAUCGGCCACAUUGGAACUGAGACACGGUCCAAACUCCUACGGGAGGCAGCAGUGGGGAAUAUUGCACAAUGGGCGAAAGCCUGAUGCAGCAACGCCGCGUGAGCGAAGAA